CCUACGGGUGGCAGCAGUGGGGGAUAUUGUACAAUGGGGGAAACCCUGAUGCAGCGACGCCGCGUGGGUGAAGAAGCGCCUCGGCGCGUAAAGCCCUGUCAGCAGGGAAGAAAAUGACGGUACAUGAAGAAGAAGCCCCGGCUAACUACGUGCCAGCAGCCGCGGUAAUACGGAGGGGGCAAGCGUUAUCCGGAUUUACUGGGUGGAAAGGGGGCGCAGACGGCGAGGCAAGCCAGGGGGGAAAGCCAGGGGCCCAACCCCGGGACUGCUCUUGGAACUGCGUGGCUAGAGUGCAGGAGGGGCAGGCGGAAUUCCUGGUGUAGCGGUGAAAUGCGUAGAUAUCAGGAGGAACACCGGUGGCGAAGGCGGCCUGCUGGACUGCAACUGACGUUGAGGCCCGAAAGCGUGGGGAGCAAACAGGAUUAGAUACCCGUGUAGUC
Molecule: ribosomal RNA, 440 nt
Filed under: uncultured bacterium
Lineage: Bacteria
Description: partial 16S ribosomal RNA
Rfam family: Bacterial small subunit ribosomal RNA
Source: RNAcentral